GUAGCGUAGGAAUAGCAUCGGCUAACUCCGGCCAAGCAGCCGCGGUAAUACGGAGGAUGCAAGCGUUAUCCGGAUUCAUUGGGUUUAAAGGGUGCGCAGNCGGGCUUGUAAGUCAGUGGUGAAAUACUGCCGCUUAACGGUAGAAUUGCCAUUGAUACUGCGAGUCUUGAGUAUGGUUGAGGUAGGCGGAAUGUGCAGUGUAGCGGUGAAAUGCAUAGAGAUUGCACAGAACGCCGAUUGCGGAGGCAGCUUACUAAGCCAUAACUGACGCUGAGGCACGAAAGCGUGGGGAGCGAACAGGAUUAGAUACCCUGGUAGUCCACGCUGUAAACGAUGUUCACUCGCUGUUUGCGAUACACAGUAAGCGGCUGAGCGAAAGCAUUAAGUGAACCACCUGGGGAGUACGAUCGCAAGGUUGAAACUCAAAGGAAUUGACGGGGGCCCGCACAAGCGGAGGAACAUGUGGUUUAAUUCGAUGAUACGCGAGGAACCUUACCUGGGCUUAAAUGUAGGCUGCAUGAAGUAGAAAUACUUCUUUCCUUCGGGACUGCUUACAAGGUGCUGCAUGGUUGUCGUCAGCUCGUGCCGUGAGGUGUCGGGUUAAGUCCCAUAACGAGCGCAACCCUUAUCGUUAGUUGCUAGCAGGUAAAGCUGAGGACUCUAGCGAGACUGCCACCGUAAGGUGAGAGGAAGGUGGGGAUGACGUCAAAUCAGCACGGCCCUUAUGUCCAGGGCUACACACGUGUUACAAUGGCCGGUACAGAGGGAAGCUACCUGGUGACAGGUUGCCAAUCUUAAAAGCCGGUCUCAGUUCGGAUUGGAGUCUGCAACCCGACUCCAUGAAGUUGGAUUCGCUAGUAAUCGCGCAUCAGCCAUGGCGCGGUGAAUACGUUCCCGGGCCUUGUACACGCCGCCCGUCAAACCAUGGGAGCUGGGGGUGCACUGAAGUCUGUGACCGAGAGGAGCGGCACUAGGGUAAAACCAGUGACUGGGGUUAAGUCGUAACAAG
RNAcentral lists this ribosomal RNA (1009 nucleotides) under uncultured organism. RNAcentral's name for it is "bacterial SSU rRNA". It matches the Rfam family "Bacterial small subunit ribosomal RNA", at positions 475 to 1495 of the family's 1533-position model. The record is from RNAcentral.